RNAcentral lists this ribosomal RNA (729 nucleotides) under uncultured bacterium. Its description in RNAcentral is "bacterial SSU rRNA". It matches the Rfam family "Bacterial small subunit ribosomal RNA", at positions 51 to 827 of the family's 1533-position model. The record is from RNAcentral.
ACACAUGCAGUCGAGCGCUCACUUCGGUGGGAGCGGCGGACGGGUUAGUAACGCGUGGGAAUAUGCCCUUCUCUACGGAAUAGCCUUUGGAAACGAAGAGUAAUACCGUAUACGCCCUUCGGGGGAAAGAUUUAUCGGAGAAGGAUUAGCCCGCGUUAGAUUAGAUAGUUGGUGGGGUAAUGGCCUACCAAGUCUACGAUCUAUAGCUGGUUUUAGAGGAUGAUCAGCAACACUGGGACUGAGACACGGCCCAGACUCCUACGGGAGGCAGCAGUGGGGAAUCUUAGACAAUGGGCGAAAGCCUGAUCUAGCCAUGCCGCGUGUGUGAUGAAGGCCCUAGGGUCGUAAAGCACUUUCGCCAGGGAUGAUAAUGACAGUACCUGGUAAAGAAACCCCGGCUAACUCCGUGCCAGCAGCCGCGGUAAUACGGAGGGGGUUAGCGUUGUUCGGAAUUACUGGGCGUAAAGCGUACGUAGGCGGAUCAGAAAGUAGGGGGUGAAAUCCCGGGGCUCAACCCCGGAACUGCCUCCUAAACUCCUGGUCUUGAGUUCGAGAGAGGUGAGUGGAAUUCCGAGUGUAGAGGUGAAAUUCGUAGAUAUUCGGAGGAACACCAGUGGCGAAGGCGGCUCACUGGCUCGAUACUGACGCUGAGGUACGAAAGUGUGGGGAGCAAACAGGAUUAGAUACCCUGGUAGUCCACACCGUAAACGAUGAAUGCCAGUCGUCGGG